Mytilus trossulus (common blue mussel) is the source of this 673-nucleotide long non-coding RNA. RefSeq lists it as uncharacterized. The record is from RefSeq and is a predicted model, not a curated record. The transcript is spliced from 3 exons. Lineage: Eukaryota; Metazoa; Mollusca; Bivalvia; Mytilida; Mytilidae.
AAACAUAUUUUAUUGUUGAAAACAAAUGGAUUAGACACAAGUUUUCCAACUUAGUUCCGUCUUCUCCAUAAUAUACAUGAAUAUACAUUAUAUUUAUAUAGCACAUAACAUAAAUUUGUAUUUUUCUAAUAAGCAUGAAGGCAUGAAAAAUAAUUAAAUAAAUCACAACUAUUGUUAUUAUAAUAUUUAUACACAAAGAAUAAUAGAAACGGCUCAAUGGAUAUCAAACGUUCUUCUUUUAAAUAAUCAAACACACCCAAACGAUCGGUCUAAAGGGAAAACACCUACUGUUAUUAGUGUGUUUUUAAAUGACUUUCUAUAAUAUUUACCUGUAUAAGUUGUAAAAGUAACAUGCAAUAUUGUGAAUAUAUAUAAUUGUGAUACGGACAUUAAAUUCUGACGUUAAAAAUGCGGAUAAAAGGAUGACAAGAACGUAUAUUUAAUAAAACGUUACCCAGAAAAACUGAAGAGCUUCAAUGCAUUUCGUGAUUACUGAUAUGUUUAGUGGAGAGACAGACUGCAUAUAAAGUAAACCGACGAGUAUGGAACAGACCGGAUACAAAGGAAACACAAAAGAAACUAAACGUGAACCAAUUAAUAAAGACAAAGGUUACUUACAUUGCCUGGUACAAGUGGGGUUUACAUUCUCAACUAUUGCUCAUGUUUUUUUUGU